GACACCUGGAAAAAGAGAAAGCUGCGCCACAAAAGAACAAUAUCCCUUACCACCUGCGUCGUCUUCUCCAAGCGACCUCUCCUUUCUUCUUCGAACCAGAAGCAACCCAGUAACAGCCAACUCUAGCUACAUCGACGACCACCCUCCUGCACUUCUCCAAAUGACCAUACACACACAACCCAUACACGUACAGAAACGAGAAAGGGAUAGUAGUGAACUAGUUGAGCUUUUGUGAGCAUGAGAGGAACGUGAAAUUGGUUUCAAGCUUUGCUUGGAUUAUUUCAGAUAUUGUCCAUGAAAUUUGUUUAGAAAUCAUGUUUGAGAUGCUGUGGGAGGCAAGGUUGUUCGUCGAGGUUCGAUUUGAGAUCGUAGUCUUAGGUUCCCGGCCAGAUUCCCAUUUGUUUUCCGACUAAACAGAAAUGUAAUCUCGGAGUUUCAUUAAUUGGAAAGUUAUCGCUCUUUGAAGGUCCAUUUUUUAUCGCUCUUUGAAAGUCCAUUGCUUGUUUUGAUUUCUAAAUAUUCCCUCUGUGCUCUUGUUAUUAAUUUUGAUGAUUUUGGUUGUUAGUAGCUUCUUCUUCAUUUUGUCACCUUCAUGCGUAGAUGACCACGUAAACAAAUAGCUUCAUUAGCUUUGUUUCCAUGUUGUUUAAGCAAGGAAAUAGACAAUUGUAUUUUAUUAGCUUUGUUUAGCGAUGAUGUUUACUGUUUUUUUUAAACAAUUUUGUAGCUUAUAAAUGUUAUCCCAUCUCUAUCUUUAAUUGUGUAAAAUGAAAACUUAUGAAAAGGAAAA
Molecule: long non-coding RNA, 790 nt
Filed under: Nicotiana benthamiana
Lineage: Eukaryota; Viridiplantae; Streptophyta; Magnoliopsida; Solanales; Solanaceae
Description: long non-coding RNA (NBEN_LNC041581)
Source: RNAcentral